This 274-nucleotide ribosomal RNA is filed under the name uncultured bacterium. Its description in RNAcentral is "partial 16S ribosomal RNA". It matches the Rfam family "Bacterial small subunit ribosomal RNA", at positions 523 to 796 of the family's 1533-position model. The record is from RNAcentral.
AUACGGAGGGUGCAAGCGUUACUCGGAAUCACUGGGCGUAAAGCGCGCGCAGGCGGCUUGAUAAGUUGGAUGUGAAAGCCUACGGCUCAACCGUAGAACUGCAUCCAAAACUGUCAGGCUAGAGUGUGGGAGAGGAAGAUGGAAUUAGUUGUGUAGGGGUAAAAUCCGUAGAGAUAACUAGGAAUACCAAAAGCGAAGGCAAUCUUCUGGAACACUACUGACGCUGAGGCGCGGAGGCGUGGGGAGCAAACAGGAUUAGAAACCCGGGUAGUCC